RNAcentral lists this ribosomal RNA (481 nucleotides) under uncultured bacterium. Its description in RNAcentral is "partial 16S ribosomal RNA". It matches the Rfam family "Bacterial small subunit ribosomal RNA", at positions 28 to 523 of the family's 1533-position model. The record is from RNAcentral.
GACGAACGCUGGCGGCGUGCUUAACACAUGCAAGUCGAGCGGAAAGGCCACUUCGGUGGUACUCGAGCGGCGAACGGGUGAGUAACACGUGAGUAAUCUGCCCCUGGCUUUGGGAUAGCCACCGGAAGCGGUGAUUAAUACCGGAUACGACCACUUCUCGCAUGGGAUGGUGGUGGAAAGUUUUUUCGGCCAGGGAUGUGCUCGCGGCCUAUCAGCUUGAUGGUGAGGUAAUGGCUCACCAUGGCCUCGACGGGUAGCCGGCCUGAGAGGGUGACCGGUCACACUGGGUCUGAGACACGGCCCAGACUCCUACGGGAGGCAGCAGUGGGGAAUAUUGGACAAUGGGCGGAAGCCUGAUCCAGCAACGCCGCGUGAGGGAUGACGGCCUUCGGGUUGUAAACCUCUCUCAGCAGGGACGAAGCGCAAGUGACGGUACCUGCAGAAGAAGCACCGGCCAACUACGUGCCAGCCGCCGCAGUAA